This 490-nucleotide ribosomal RNA is filed under the name uncultured bacterium. Its description in RNAcentral is "partial 16S ribosomal RNA". It matches the Rfam family "Bacterial small subunit ribosomal RNA", at positions 30 to 507 of the family's 1533-position model. The record is from RNAcentral.
AUUGAACGCUGGCGGCAGGCCUAACACAUGCAAGUCGAACGGUAACAGGAAGCAGCUUGCUGCUUUGCUGACGAGUGGCGGACGGGUGAGUAAUGUCUGGGAAACUGCCUGAUGGAGGGGGAUAACUACUGGAAACGGUAGCUAAUACCGCAUAACGUCGCAAGACCAAAGAGGGGGACCUUCGGGCCUCUUGCCAUCGGAUGUGCCCAGAUGGGAUUAGCUAGUAGGUGGGGUAACGGCUAACCUAGGCGACGAUCCCUAGCUGGUCUGAGAGGAUGACCAGCCACACUGGAACUGAGACACGGUCCAGACUCCUACGGGAGGCAGCAGUGGGGAAUAUUGCACAAUGGGCGCAAGCCUGAUGCAGCCAUGCCGCGUGUAUGAAGAAGGCCUUCGGGUUGUAAAGUACUUUCAGCGGGGAGGAAGGGAGUAAAGUUAAUACCUUUGCUCAUUGACGUUACCCGCAGAAGAAGCACCGGCUAACUCCGUG